Molecule: unclassified non-coding RNA, 19 nt
Filed under: Chlamydomonas reinhardtii
Lineage: Eukaryota; Viridiplantae; Chlorophyta; Chlorophyceae; Chlamydomonadales; Chlamydomonadaceae
Description: small RNA Cre_2969
Source: RNAcentral
UGAUGGGCGCGAGGGAGGC